UCUGGACAGAGGCGGCAAAUCAGACAGUGGCAGGCUACAGUUAACAGCAGGAUCUGGCUUGUAUCUGAUGUCACUGAUAUAUAUGUCAAAAUAGUAUAAGGCCAAGAGGUAGUCCCUGUGGGAUCCCACUAGUAUCACUGAGCAGAACGGACGCACAAGUGAUCUGUCCUCAGUUACAAGCACCACACAGCAGACAGGCAUC
Molecule: long non-coding RNA, 202 nt
Organism: Mauremys reevesii (Reeves's turtle)
Lineage: Eukaryota; Metazoa; Chordata; Testudines; Geoemydidae
Exons: 3
Source: RefSeq, a predicted model, not a curated record